This 492-nucleotide ribosomal RNA is filed under the name uncultured bacterium. Its description in RNAcentral is "partial 16S ribosomal RNA". It matches the Rfam family "Bacterial small subunit ribosomal RNA", at positions 29 to 507 of the family's 1533-position model. The record is from RNAcentral.
AGUGAACGCUGGCGGUAGGCCUAACACAUGCAAGUCGAACGGCAGCACAGUAAGAGCUUGCUCUUACGGGUGGCGAGUGGCGGACGGGUGAGGAAUACAUCGGAAUCUACUUUUUCGUGGGGGAUAACGUAGGGAAACUUACGCUAAUACCGCAUACGACCUACGGGUGAAAGCAGGGGAUCUUCGGACCUUGCGCGAUUGAAUGAGCCGAUGUCGGAUUAGCUAGUUGGCGGGGUAAAGGCCCACCAAGGCGACGAUCCGUAGCUGGUCUGAGAGGAUGAUCAGCCAAACUGGAACUGAGACACGGUCCAGACUCCUAAGGGAGGCAGCAGUGGGGAAUAUUGGACAAUGGGGGGAAGCCUGAUCCAGCCAUACCGCGUGGGUGAAGAAGGCCUUCGGGUUGUAAAGCCCUUUUGUUGGGAAAGAAAAGCAGCAGGUUAAUACCCCGCUGUUCUGACGGUACCCAAAGAAUAAGCACCGGCUAACUUCGUG